Molecule: ribosomal RNA, 487 nt
Filed under: uncultured bacterium
Lineage: Bacteria
Description: bacterial SSU rRNA
Rfam family: Bacterial small subunit ribosomal RNA
Source: RNAcentral
CGACUGGCGGCGUGCUAACACAUGCAAGUCGAACGAAGCAUUUGCCACGAUCCCUCGGGGUGACGGCAUUCUGACUUAGUGGCGGACGGGUGAGUAACGCGUGGACAACCUGCCGCAUGCAGGGGGAUAACAGCCGGAAACGGCUGCUAAUACCGCAUAAGCGCACAGUGCCGCAUGGCACGGUGUGGAAAACUUUCGUGGCAUGCGAUGGAUCCGCGUCUGAUUAGCUUGUUGGCGGGGCAACGGCCCACCAAGGCGACGAUCAGUAGCCGGCCUGAGAGGGCGUACGGCCACAUUGGGACUGAGACACGGCCCAGACUCCUACGGGAGGCAGCAGUGGGGAAUAUUGCACAAUGGGGGGAACCCUGAUGCAGCCGACGCUGCGUGAGCGAUGAAGUAUUUCGGUAUGUAAAGCUCUAUCAGCAGGGAAGAAACAAAUGACGGUACCUGACUAAGAAGCCCCGGCUAACUACGUGCCAGCCGCCGC